This 398-nucleotide unclassified non-coding RNA is filed under the name soil metagenome. RNAcentral's name for it is "partial contains 5.8S ribosomal RNA, internal transcribed spacer 2, and large subunit ribosomal RNA". The stretch from base 1 to 122 matches the Rfam family "5.8S ribosomal RNA", at positions 35 to 154 of the family's 154-position model. The record is from RNAcentral.
GAUGAAGAACGCAGUGAAAUGCGAUACUUGGUGUGAAUUGCAGAAUCCCGUGAACCAUCGAGUCUUUGAACGCAAGUUGCGCCCGAAGCCAUUAGGCCGAGGGCACGCCUGCCUGGGUGUCGCACAUCGUUGCCCCAAUGCCUCAGCCCUGUUGCAAGGCAUGGCAAAGGGGCGAAUGUUGGCUUCCCGUGAGCGUUGUUGCCUCGCGGUUGGUUGAAAAUCGAGUCCUUGGUAGGGUGUGCCAUGGUAGAUGGUGGUCGAGUUAGAACGAUACCGAUCAUGUGCAUGCUCCCCAAAAUAUGGCCUCUAUGACCCACACGCGUCUUUUGACGCUCAUGACGAGACCUCAGGUCAGGCGGGGCUACCCGCUGAAUUUAAGCAUAUCAAUAAGCGGAAGA